RNAcentral lists this transfer RNA (76 nucleotides) under Burkholderiaceae bacterium. Its description in RNAcentral is "tRNA-His". It matches the Rfam family "tRNA". Rfam says of the family: Transfer RNA (tRNA) molecules are approximately 80 nucleotides in length. Their secondary structure includes four short double-helical elements and three loops (D, anti-codon, and T loops). The record is from RNAcentral. Lineage: Bacteria; Pseudomonadati; Pseudomonadota; Betaproteobacteria; Burkholderiales; Burkholderiaceae.
GUGGCCGUAGCUCAGUAGGAAGAGCAUUGGAAUGUGGAUCCAAGGGUCGAGAGUUCAAACCUCUACGGUCACCCCA